UUCUGAUCCAGCGAUCGCCAUAUUCAUUACUGACUCCAAAUAAUCCAAAUGCAUACUAGUUUCCAGCUGCAUAUAUACGACCUUUUUUAUGUUCCCCAAAACAGCAACCGUCAACCAUGAAAGAGCUGACUCCUCUAGUGAGUUUAAAUCCAACAGCAUAUCAGACUCAACAAUCCCAGCUGUACUACAGCAAACGAAAUCUUUAACU
Non-coding RNA from Schizosaccharomyces pombe (fission yeast), 208 nucleotides. Lineage: Eukaryota; Fungi; Ascomycota; Schizosaccharomycetes; Schizosaccharomycetales; Schizosaccharomycetaceae. The record is from the annotation of a GenBank genome assembly.